This 54-nucleotide small nucleolar RNA is filed under the name Tursiops truncatus (common bottlenose dolphin). Its description in RNAcentral is "Small nucleolar RNA SNORD113/SNORD114 family (ENSTTRG00000024572.1)". The record is from RNAcentral. Lineage: Eukaryota; Metazoa; Chordata; Mammalia; Artiodactyla; Delphinidae.
UGGAUCGAUGAUGACCGCUGGUGGAGUAUACUGUUCUUGUAAUUUUGGAUUCAU